GAGAGUGACACUGUGCUGCGGCUGACAGGAAUUUUGUCUCGUUGCAUAAAUUUUCUUGCAACUGUAUUGAAGUUCCAUCCUAAAGAUUCCUCUUUCUACUCGAACGUGACCAAGGUGCUCUACGUACAAUCCUGGGGAUAGGGCUUUUAUUACAUAGCCGGCCAUGUUUCCUUUUGGAAAAAAGCUUAGAAGUAGCCAAAUUGUAAUAUAGAUAUUUUUAUUUGGGGCGUUAAUUACACUGUCAAUAAUAAUUCAAAUCACAAGUCAGGAAGUUCUUUCGUCAGGCCGUUCCAGCGGAUAGACCAACCAGCUCAGACUUCAUUCUGUAAUGAAGUAAAAAGGGUUGUUAAGUAUUUAUGUCAACAACUACAAGAAUUAACAUUAAUGAUCUCUCACACUGAACUGUACAAAUCGUGCAAUGGUCAGCCCGCUAAACCCCACUUGGUUAGCCUCCACGCCGACCUGAUCUUGCAGCUCCUUCAAUACUCAAUCGUGCAAUAGGGUGGAAUCCACCAUCCCUUGAUUAGUAUUGGAUAACCUCUACCAGAUUGUGCAAUAGGUCAACUUUACAGUCUCCCUAAUCCUGGUCUUCGGAUGGCAGUCACUACUCUGACUCCAUCCGGGACACACCUCAUAACAUUACAACCAGAUCGUGCAAUAGAUUGGAAUCCACCAAUCUGACCCUGGCCUAAUGAUAACUCAACUCUACCAGAUUGUGCAAUAGGGGUUGGACGAUGAUGUAUGAUAUAUGGUGUCACAACUCCCUUUAAUUCCCCAUAUAAAAAUGUCAACUGAACGCAAUGCUAGCAACAUGGCAAGGUCGGGAACUUUUUUGAACAUUGUUCAGCAGAUGGAGCUGUUCUACAAAUUUUUGACUAUUUUUCAAAUUUACGUCAUAAUGACACAUCAUAUUAAAUUCUGUGGUCUAAGGCUGUUUACGGUGUUUACGACUAUCUACGAACCUGUGCCAAGAAUUAUAUUAGUUAAUGAAUCACAAGUAUGGUCUUUAAAGGGAAAUUGAUUUAUUUAGCAGUAAAAUGGUUUCACUACAAUAAUCUCUAGAGUAGAGACAUCAGCUAUCAUAAACAUAAAUAAAUUCAUAUCGGAGGCCCUAAAACAACUGUGAACGCAUUAUAAGGUGAUUGAUGUCUGUACAAACGGUAGUUGCACUUGAGUUUUCGCAUGUGUUAGAAUACAGCAACGCCAAAAACAACAAGUUGUGUAGAAAAAGCAACAAUCCAUCGAGUAAUCUUUGUAAUCAAACCCAUUUGGAUGUAGGAACCAGCCUUGUUUCAAUGAUUUUAACUGAAAUUCCGCAUACCAUAAGAAAUGACAGUAAUUAAUAAAGUUAUUAAUAUUUUUAAUCAAAACUACAGAUGAGAAGUAUAAUACACAAUUAGUAAAA
This is a long non-coding RNA of Tribolium castaneum (red flour beetle), 1405 nucleotides long. RefSeq lists it as uncharacterized. NCBI's taxonomy places the organism in Eukaryota, Metazoa, Arthropoda, Insecta, Coleoptera, Tenebrionidae. The transcript has 4 exons. The record is from RefSeq and is a predicted model, not a curated record.